Molecule: ribosomal RNA, 1092 nt
Filed under: Triticum aestivum (bread wheat)
Lineage: Eukaryota; Viridiplantae; Streptophyta; Magnoliopsida; Poales; Poaceae
Description: partial small subunit ribosomal RNA
Source: RNAcentral
UGGAAUGAUACACGCUCAGGAUCAUUUACAGUAAGAUCGGCCUAUCAUGUCGAGUUUGAGCAUCAAUAUGGACGCCAUUGGCAGCACCCGGAUGGGCAGGGAAGCACCAGUAUAAACCCCAUCUGGAAACUAAUAUGGAGCCUGGCUAUCCCUGGCAAAGUAAAGCACUUUGUUUGGAAAUGUCUAAAAGGUGUACUGCCCUGUUUGGGUAUUCUUGCUGGGCGUCACAUCCCUACGUCCGCACAGUGUCCGGUUUGUAAGAUUGGGUUAGAUGACAUCCAACAUUGCCUCUUCAGUUGCCAGAGAGCGAUGAAAAUCUGGGAAGAACUAGGACUAUCAGAAGACAUCAAGAAAGCUAUCGCCGAAGACCAGUCGGGUUCGAUAACGAUGGAAAUACUGCAAAGAGCCCAAGAUAGUGCGGACGGAUUGCCAAAAGCAGAAUUAUUUGCAGUUGCAGCGUGGUAUAUUUGGUGGCAGAGAAGACAGCUUGUCAAGGGGGAAAGUAUAACGUCCCCGGAGCGUACUGCUACUACUAUCAAGGUACUGUGUACAAACUUCUUCCGAGCUUCAAAAACUAAUAUACCAGAUAGAAAACGAGAGCAGAUGUGGAGGAAACCACCUAGAGGAUGGGUGAAGAUUAACGUCGAUGCCUCGUUUAGUACUGAAACUAUGUCAGGUGCAGUGGGCGCGAUUGCUCGAGAUGACAGAGGAGAGUUCGUUGCAGCCGCGGCGUGGUUCAUUCCACAUGUGAUCACCGCCGAAUCAGCGGAAAUACAAGCCAUCAGAAACGGGGCUUGGCUAGCGCAACACAUUGGCUGUAACUCUCUCAUCUUGGAGUCAGAUAACCUGAAUGCUGUACAGGCUUUUGACCAACAAGAGAUUUACAAUGGUAACGACGCAGCCGUGGUGAUGGACGGCAAGCAAAUCUGUACCGAUUUUGCAUCAGUGUCCUACCUACACUGUUUUAGGGAAGCAAACGAGGUUGCUGAUCUCCUAGCAAAGCAUUCUUCCCUUAGUAGAUCCUCUCAUCUUUGGGAAGAUUUUACCCCUGACUUUAUUUCUCAGGCUAUUGUAAACGACUUGUCUAUUAUU